AACGAACGCUGGCGGCAGGCCUAACACAUGCCAGUCGAGCGAGGACUUCGGUUCUAGCGGCGGACGGGUGAGUAACGCGUGGGAAUGUGCCCUUCUCUACGGAAUAGCCCUGGGAAACUGGGAGUAAUACCGUAUACGCCCUAUUGGGGAAAGAUUUAUCGGAGAAGGAUCAGCCCGCGUUGGAUUCGGUAGUUGGUGGGGUAAUGGCCUACCAAGCCGACGAUCCAUAGCUGGUUUGAGAGGAUGAUCAGCCACACUGGGACUGAGACACGGCCCAGACUCCUACGGGAGGCAGCAGUGGGGAAUCUUAGACAAGGGGGGCAACCCUGAUCGAGCCAUGCCGCGGGAGUGAUGAAGGCCUUAGGGUUGUAAAGCUCUUUCAGCUGGGAAGAUAAUGACGGUACCAGCAGAAGAAGCCCCGGCUAACUCCGUG
This 433-nucleotide ribosomal RNA is filed under the name uncultured bacterium. RNAcentral describes it as "partial 16S ribosomal RNA". It matches the Rfam family "Bacterial small subunit ribosomal RNA", at positions 29 to 507 of the family's 1533-position model. The record is from RNAcentral.